Long non-coding RNA from Triticum dicoccoides, 1804 nucleotides. RefSeq lists it as uncharacterized. The transcript has 2 exons. Lineage: Eukaryota; Viridiplantae; Streptophyta; Magnoliopsida; Poales; Poaceae. The record is from RefSeq and is a predicted model, not a curated record.
CAGGCCCUCUCGACCAGUUGACCGUGCAGAGAGCCAAAGAGCAGAGAGGCAGAGACGAACCCUAUACGCUACUCAUCGACGCAGGCAGCCAGCUGCCGGCCGCCGCUUGUCAAAUCCGGCGACCCCGUCCAAGCGUUCAUUCCGGCGAGGCGGUGACCCCGCUUGCACGGCUUCACCUGCACUCAGCCGCUCGUGCGCGACCUCGCCCGACCUCUCGUCCAGCGAUGCCCCGCCUCCGUCCUGCCGCCACCGUCCGGCCGGCCGGCGACCUCGCCCCGCCUCCUGCCACCCGCCACGGCGCCACCGUUCAGCCAGCCAGAGCCAGGAAGACAAGAUAAAUGAAAGAACCAGGACAAUGACAUCUUCUUUUUCAACCACAAAGCCCUGAUUCCACAGUAACAGAAACAGGCCCUUCAACACGACCAGGUGAUGAUAUUCCUCAUGUUACGGCUCAACUUAAGCCCGCUGAUAUCGAACCAGACCCUGGUAAGAGAAUACCUAUUGAGAAUUUGGAUCCAGACAUUAGGGAUCUUGCUAGAAGGGUCCAUGCCAACCAACUGAUCAUGUAUAUGAACGGAAAUGGGUAGGAAAAGGGUUUAAAAGCUUUCAUGAUUCUUGGUACCACAAUUCUUGAUGAACAUGUUGGUAAACAUGAUAGUGCUCAUAAUAAGGCUAGACAACACUAUGAGGCUUUCAAAAAUCAGUGGCAAAAUCUGCCACAUGUGUUUGAUCGAGGUACUCAGAAGGACGAAGAAGAAUACAAAGCUCGUCUCUUGAUUAUAUUGCGUGUUAUCAAAUUUUUGCUGCUACAAGGUCUAGCUUUUCGUGGACAUGAUGAGUCUACUAGCUCAAAGAAUAAGGGUAACUUUAAGGAAUUGUUGGGCUGGCUCAUAGAGAAAGACCGAGAGGCAUGCAAAUUGAUUGGGGAUGCAGGAGCGAACCAUAAGCUAAUUUCACCUGAGAUACAAUUGGACUUGUGCAAGGCGUGUGCAAAAGAGACCUCCAAAGCCAUUAUUGAUGAAAUUGGAGAUAGAUAAUUUUCCUUACUGGUUGAUGAGUCUAGAGAUGUAUCUAUCAAGGAGCGUGUUCAUAUUUUUAUCAUUAAAAAUGAGCGUUACUUUUGUAUGACUUAAAACUGGGAUAGUUUUUGAGACAAAAGUUUGGCCCUUCACUUUUGGCCCGGGGCGUCAGCCAAUCCUGGCUACGCCGUUGGCCAUGACCACCACCAGGUGCAUAGCUACUCUACCUAAUGGGCCAUUAGCAGAAAGCAAGCCGUUUAACUAGCUAACAAACAUCAACCAUUAUAAAAAUUACGAUAGCAGCAGCCCGUGCAGGGAGAGUAGCAGCACAUGAGUGAGCAGAGGGAGAGGGAGGUGCUACCUGCUGGGAGCAGUGCAUGGUCGUGGCCGGGCUGGACUCAUCGAGCUCAGGCAGGGCAACUUGGUUGCCUUGGAAGCAGAGGAGCAGACCCCUUGUUUCCGGACAGGGCCGAUGCCUAGGUGCGUCCCUCCUCGAGCAGGAUAAGGCCAUGUUCCCGACCAGAACUGGCGUCCUCCUGUUGUCGUCGCCGUCCACGUCAUAGGCGGUCUGUAGAAAAGGAAGAUAACUAUAGAAGGUUAGUUUGCAAAUCUACAAGCUACAGUGUGUAGCAAAGAUAUUCAAUCUAUUCAGCAAAAACAACACAAAAAUAUAUGACAGUCUGCAGAACAACAUAGCAUCAUUCACAAGCAAAGUAUAGGAUGCAAACAGCAAAUAGUACCAUAAUUCUCAUCACAGUCAUACAUUGAAUUCAUUAAAGGCUACA